GUGGCUUCCUCCGGUUCUUCAAGGAAUAAAUUAACGAAUUUGCAUAAGGAAUUGUCUCCUGAGCCGCUUUAUACCUUUGAUGUCGAUCAAAGAAAUCGCCACAAUGUAAAAUUCAAGUUUUUUUCUGAUUCUUUUGUUUUUGAAGUGUAAAUUGUGAAAUAAUUUGAAUACUUAACAUGAUAUUGGAGUAAUUUUCUUAAAAUUUAGGGGUUUUUUGCUUGCUUGUUUUUGAAUUUGAUAUUUCUAUUGUUUGAAUCUGCCUAAGCUUUG
This 270-nucleotide long non-coding RNA is filed under the name Solanum tuberosum (potato). RNAcentral's name for it is "long non-coding RNA (STUB_LNC011185)". Lineage: Eukaryota; Viridiplantae; Streptophyta; Magnoliopsida; Solanales; Solanaceae. The record is from RNAcentral.